AGAGAUGUAAACUAAAAAAGUUAUUGGGCUCAUGACCCACCUAUAAGAUAAAAUUUUCUUCGCUC
Molecule: transfer RNA, 65 nt
Filed under: Conchocele cf. bisecta HPD1644
Lineage: Eukaryota; Metazoa; Mollusca; Bivalvia; Lucinida; Thyasiridae
Description: tRNA-Met
Source: RNAcentral